Molecule: ribosomal RNA, 630 nt
Filed under: uncultured bacterium
Lineage: Bacteria
Description: bacterial SSU rRNA
Rfam family: Bacterial small subunit ribosomal RNA (bases 1-540)
Source: RNAcentral
CCUACGGGAGGCAGCAGUGGGGAAUAUUGGACAAUGGGCGAAAGCCUGAUCCAGCCAUGCCGCGUGUGUGAAGAAGGCCUUUUGGUUGUAAAGCACUUUAAGCGGGGAGGAGGGCACCACGGUUAAUACCCGUGAAUGUCGGACGUUACCCGCAGAAUAAGCACCGGCUAACUCUGUGCCAGCAGCCGCGGUAAUACAGAGGGUGCGAGCGUUAAUCGGAAUUACUGGGCGUAAAGCGCGCGUAGGCGGCUUGUUAAGUCAAAUGUGAAAUCCCCGAGCUUAACUUGGGCAUUGCAUUCGAUACUGGCAAGCUAGAGUAUGGGAGAGGGAGGUAGAAUUCCAGGUGUAGCGGUGAAAUGCGUAGAGAUCUGGAGGAAUACCGAUGGCGAAGGCAGCCUUCUGGCCUAAUACUGACGCUGAGGUGCGAAAGCAUGGGGAGCAAACAGGAUUAGAUACCCUGGUAGUCCAUGCCGUAAACGAUGUCAACUAGCCGUUGGGCCCCUUGAGGGCUUAGUGGCGCGNGCACGCGAUAGUGCCGCCGNGGGAGGUACGGUCGCGAGAACGUAAACGUAACGAAACGGAAGUUAGACGGACGUAGAGACGNGCGACGGACGACGACGAGGGAGGAGG